UAGUCCACGCCGUAAACGAUGGAUACUAGCUGUUCGGAAUUUAUUCUGAGUGGCUAAGCGAAAGUGAUAAGUAUCCCACCUGGGGAGUACGUUCGCAAGAAUGAAACUCAAAGGAAUUGACGGGGGCCCGCACAAGCGGUGGAGCAUGUGGUUUAAUUCGAUGAUACGCGAGGAACCUUACCAGGGCUUAAAUGUAGAUUGCAUGAUUUAGAGAUAGAUCUUUCUUCGGACCAUCUACAAGGUGCUGCAUGGUUGUCGUCAGCUCGUGCCGUGAGGUGUCAGGUUAAGUCCUAUAACGAGCGCAACCCCUGUUGUUAGUUGCCAGCGAGUCAUGUCGGGAACUCUAACAAGACUGCCAGUGCAAACUGUGAGGAAGGUGGGGGAUGACGUCAAAUCAUCACGGGCCCUUACGUCCCUGGGGCUACACACGUGCUACAAUGGGUAGGUACAGAGGGGCAGCUA
RNAcentral lists this ribosomal RNA (462 nucleotides) under uncultured bacterium. RNAcentral describes it as "bacterial SSU rRNA". It matches the Rfam family "Bacterial small subunit ribosomal RNA", at positions 791 to 1252 of the family's 1533-position model. The record is from RNAcentral.